UACGUAGGGGGCAAGCGUUAUCCGGAUUUACUGGGUGUAAAGGGAGCGCAGGCGGCAGGGCAAGUCAGAUGUGAAAUACCGGGGCUCAACCCCGGGACUGCAUUUGAAACUGUCCGGCUGGAGUGCAGGAGAGGCAGGCGGAAUUCCUAGUGUAGCGGUGAAAUGCGUAGAUAUUAGGAGGAACACCAGUGGCGAAGGCGGCCUGCUGGACUGUAACUGACGCUGAGGCUCGAAAGCGUGGGGAG
This 245-nucleotide ribosomal RNA is filed under the name uncultured Acetitomaculum sp. RNAcentral describes it as "partial 16S ribosomal RNA". It matches the Rfam family "Bacterial small subunit ribosomal RNA", at positions 524 to 768 of the family's 1533-position model. Lineage: Bacteria; Bacillati; Bacillota; Clostridia; Lachnospirales; Lachnospiraceae. The record is from RNAcentral.